AGCAAGUCUGAAAGCAGUGGUGUUUACAACUACAUAUAUUGUCACUGAUAAUACUUGAUCAUAACUGGUUAACUUUCUCCAUUCCCACUGCUUCACUUGACUAGCCUUUA
Otolemur garnettii (small-eared galago) is the source of this 110-nucleotide unclassified non-coding RNA. It matches the Rfam family "Y RNA". Rfam says of the family: Y RNAs are components of the Ro ribonucleoprotein particle (Ro RNP), in association with Ro60 and La proteins. The Y RNAs and Ro60 and La proteins are well conserved, but the function of the Ro RNP is not known. The record is from Ensembl. NCBI's taxonomy places the organism in Eukaryota, Metazoa, Chordata, Mammalia, Primates, Galagidae.